RNAcentral lists this ribosomal RNA (449 nucleotides) under uncultured bacterium. Its description in RNAcentral is "partial 16S ribosomal RNA". It matches the Rfam family "Bacterial small subunit ribosomal RNA", at positions 29 to 523 of the family's 1533-position model. The record is from RNAcentral.
AACGAACGCUGGCGGCAGGCCUAACACAUGCAAGUCGAACGAAGUCUUCGGACUUAGUGGCGCACGGGUGAGUAACACGUGGGAAUAUACCUUACGCUGGGGGAUAACAUCGGGAAACUGAUGCUAAUACCGCAUACGCCCUUCGGGGGAAAGAUUUAUCGGCGAAAGAUUAGCCCGCGUCCGAUUAGCUAGUUGGUGAGGUAAUGGCUCACCAAGGCUCCGAUCGGUAGCUGGUCUGAGAGGAUGACCAGCCACACUGGGACUGAGACACGGCCCAGACUCCUACGGGAGGCAGCAGUGGGGAAUAUUGGACAAUGGGCGCAAGCCUGAUCCAGCCAUGCCGCGUGAGUGAUGAAGGCCUUAGGGUUGUAAAGCUCUUUCGACGGGGACGAUGAUGACGGUACCCGUAGAAGAAGCCCCGGCUAACUUCGUGCCAGCAGCCGCAGUAA